This 253-nucleotide ribosomal RNA is filed under the name uncultured bacterium. RNAcentral describes it as "partial 16S ribosomal RNA". It matches the Rfam family "Bacterial small subunit ribosomal RNA", at positions 524 to 776 of the family's 1533-position model. The record is from RNAcentral.
UACAGAGGGUGCGAGCGUUAAUCGGAUUUACUGGGCGUAAAGAGCGCGCAGGCGGUCGUUCAAGUCGAGUGUGAAAGCCCCCGGCUCAACUGGGGAGGGUCACUCGAUACUGAUCGACUCGAAGGCAGAAGAGGGAAGCGGAAUUCCCGGUGUAGUGGUGAAAUGCGUAGUUAUCGGGAGGAACACCAGUGGCGAAGGCGGCUUUCUGGUCUGCUCUUGACGCUGAGGCGCGAAAGCGUGGGGAGCAAACAGG